Molecule: long non-coding RNA, 2973 nt
Filed under: Panax ginseng (ginseng)
Lineage: Eukaryota; Viridiplantae; Streptophyta; Magnoliopsida; Apiales; Araliaceae
Description: long non-coding RNA (PGIN_LNC012087)
Source: RNAcentral
CCUUCUGUUCCAGAAUCUAUAACAUUUACAAUCGGUUAUUACAUCUGUUGAUCAUUCCUAAUCUACUGAUACAUCUUAAACUAUAAACAAUAUGUUUUAUAUUGUUACAUGGAUUCACAAUCCAAAAAUUUUAAUAUUCUUCUAUAUUGUGUUCUUCAACUACACAACUACAAUGUAUAAUAUUAACAUUCAUCUAGUUUAGCUGGAAACUUCAUCAUUAAGUGUUUUGACAUAAAAUCUUACCAAAUAUAAAUACUCUAAAGAAAUUACACCAACCAUCUUCAAUCACUAAUUCUUCUCGUGAUCCUUUAUCUAUAUAUAUCCUGAAUCCUCUGACGCUAUGGUCAUCUGUUUAUAACGACUUUAAUCUGCAAAAUUUAUUUCCAAGGUUGAGCACGACAACUUAGCAAGUCCAACAGUCUUCACAUUUAAUGUCUCACAUAGCAUACGAAUUUCAUAUAUUCAUACAUCAAAAAAUUUAGUCAUUGCAUCUACACAUGCUUCAUACAUCUCUAUAUGCAUCAUACAUUUCUUGAUAUGCAUCUUUAUAUGAAUAAUACUUAUCAUACAAUACAAUAUAAUCUUCAUAUUAUAUAUUUAACCCAUACUUCACAAAUUCCAUACUUUGCAUUUAGUCACAUAACAUUCAUGUAAUCAACGAUUUCACAUAAAGCAACAUAUAUCAUUAACUACCGUAAACAUGGUUUAAUACACAUUAUCAUCACAUAAGAGCAAGUUACUAAAGAACUUGCCUCAAAACCUUCCUUGCGUGGUUAUGAGAAUUUGUCCUUCCAUUGUCUUACACGAUUAAGGGUAUAUAUAACCACCAUUAGCCACAUAAUGAUGCUUGGUAGUCAUUUAUGUUAAUUCCACCUUACUUUUCAUCAUUCUUCCUUUUUAAAUCUUGAUACACAAUGUUUUAAUCAUGUGUUUAAGACUUACUAGAACACUUUAUUAUCCAUUUGAUUUAUUUACAUUAAACUUCAUUCGAAUGAGAAUUUAAUUAAUAAGAUUAAUCAUCACCUCGUAAUUAAAUCUGAUAAUCAUUAUUAAACUCUCGUCUAAUAUUAUUAAUCACUCAAUCAAUAUUAUUAAUCAUUUAAUAAUAUUUCAAUCAGUUACUAAUAUUAUUAAUUAUUUAAUAAUAUUUUAUUCACUUUCUAAUAUUAUUAAUCACUUAAUAAUAUCUUAAUAACUUACAAAAAUUAUUAAUCAUUUAAUAAUAUUUUAUUCACUUUCUAAUAUUAUUAACCAUAUAAUAAUAUUUUAAUCACUUACUAAUAUUAUUAAUCUUUUAAUAAUAUUUUAAUAAUUCACUAAUAUUAUUAAUCAUUUAAUAAUAUUAUUAAUCAUUUAAAUAAUUUAAUUUAAUUGUUUAUCUCUUACUAUUUAAUUUAUUUAACACACACAUUGUGCCAUUCUUAUACCAUUUUAUUAAAAAUGACCAAAUUACCCUCAUAAAGUCUUAAUACAUCAUAUUAAUGAUUAUUAGUCAAUAAAAUCACCUUACAGAAUUUUAUGACUUAAUAUAACUUAAUUUUCUUAUUUAUUCUUAACGCAUUCAUAGUUAUUAAAAAUACCUAAUCAAAUUAUUAUUUUCCUAUCUCCUGAAAAACUUAAAUAUAUAAUAUUUUAGUCACAAAAUAAUUUUCUUGAAAUUUUUUAACUUCGUUUCCUAUUUUUAAAUAGGUCAUUUCUGUCCAUAACUACCACAUUUAUUAAAAAUUAUCUUUUUGACUUGUACCAACAUACACAUCCCCUCACAUCAUUUUUAUAACAUUCGCAUAAAAUUAUGUGACCUUUUCAUAGUCUCAUAUGUCACAUGUCGACAUACUCUAGUCGAUAGAAAUUAUCUCGACGAUUCCCGAUUCGUCGAUUAUUAGUUUUUAAUCCGUUGAAAGCCUAAUUCCCCCAUUAAGCAUCCUUAAUCAUUUUAUUAUUUUUUCUAUUUUCUGUCCAUACAUAUAUACAUAUAUUCCAUACACAAAAAAAAAAAUUCUGAAAUUUUUUCUUUUUAUUAAAUAUUUUUCAGAAGCCAAUUUUAGUUCGUAACUUAGUAAAAUUAGCUAUAUCAUGCUCAACUCAGAAAAUUCUCAAAUUUUUACAGAAUCUUACAUAUAUUAUUGUGAACUUCCAGUUUAAAUUUCGUGGUCAUCGAAAUUAUAGAACUCUAGUUAUAGCUAUUUUUGUCAAACAAAUCCUAUAAUUGAAAUGGCCAUAACUCACUCGAUUUAAUUCGGCAUAAGCUCCACUUUGGACAGGAGCUUCUUUAUAUCAUAUAUUUUCAUGCCCCAAAAGGCCUGAAUUUAUUUCAAAAAUUAAAUGGCCGAAAAUGCCCCUGGAAAUGUUUGGACAUAUUGCUUUUUGGUAUUUCCAGAUUUUACCUACUUUACUAAAAAUUGUCCAUAUAGAAAUCUACAAGGAAUUUUUCAGUGAUUCCACUUGGAGAUAUUAGAUAUCUCAUGUAUCUAACACAUGUUUUUGACGGAUCUCAAAAAUAAGUUUCAGAUUUCAAAUGUUGAAGGUCCAAAGUUAAAUGAAAUUUAGGGCUUUUUGUACCAAAAACUAUUUUUGAUCUUCUUCUUUGUUCAAGCUCAUCAACCCUUAAAUUGACAACAUCCAAGCAUAAAACAUCAUAAUACAUCCUAAUACUUCUUAACUCAAGGAUCUACCAUGAUCCACGAUUAAUUCCAUCAAACUCCCAUGAAAAUAAGACUAAACAACUAUAAACAUAGUUUUUGGGUUAGAAUUUCUUAUACCUUCUUGUUUUCUUGCUUGACUUCCUCUUCCAUGAUUACAUGGCUACCCACCACUUGAGGCAUAAACAAAACACAUAAACAUGGUAGGAAUUUCAGAUUUUAGAACAAAUCUAUCAAAGAAAGUUCUAUGAAUUUAAGUUUAGGAAUUACCUUUAAUAAGUUUUCUUCAUUUUCUUUCUUCCUCUUCUUUCUUUUUCCUCUCUCCUCUUCUUCC